RNAcentral lists this ribosomal RNA (255 nucleotides) under Clostridioides difficile. RNAcentral's name for it is "partial 23S ribosomal RNA". It matches the Rfam family "Bacterial large subunit ribosomal RNA", at positions 1189 to 1451 of the family's 2925-position model. The record is from RNAcentral. Lineage: Bacteria; Bacillati; Bacillota; Clostridia; Peptostreptococcales; Peptostreptococcaceae.
UACUACCGAAGCUACGGCAUCAGUAAUGAUGGGUAGGGGAGCUUCCCAUACGGGUUGAAGCAGGACCGUAAGGACAUGUGGACAGUAUGGGAGUGAGAAUGUUGGCAUGAGUAGCGAGAUGUGGGUGAGAAUCCCACAGGCCGUAAACCCAAGGUUUCCAGGGGAAGGUUCGUCCGCCCUGGGUUAGUCGGGACCUAAGCUGAGGCCGAAAGGCGUAGGUGAUGGACAACAGGUUGAUAUUCCUGUACUACCGAU